AUCCAUCUGAAGAGUCCCAAAUAGGAAGAAACUUGCAUCAUGGAU
RNAcentral lists this non-coding RNA (45 nucleotides) under Schistosoma mattheei. The record is from RNAcentral. Lineage: Eukaryota; Metazoa; Platyhelminthes; Trematoda; Strigeidida; Schistosomatidae.